AAAUUAUCAUUUAUUUUAAAUAAAUACAUUUAUGGAUGCGACAUAUUAUUGUAAUUAAGAAAUAUAGUGGUGUUAGCCUACAAUCCGGUUUUGCAAUAGCAGACGGGCGUUAGCCCACUGUCCGGAUAGUAACUUAGUGGACAGUUUUUUAGAUAGCACAUUAACAUAAAUUAGCAGCCAUUUUGUAAGAACAAAAAGUUAAGAAAAAGAAAUUGUUAAAAUCACAGAGAUAACGGUUGUGAUGAUCAAAGUGUUUUCUCUAUCUGCUCAUUGCUGACCGACAAAAUUCAACAUCUAAGUCACGCUUCAAUACAGACUAUAUAUUGGUUAAAAGAUGUGUAUGUUGGUAUUAGGUACAUCUCAUAUAAACAGACUCCAAAAUUAUUUGGUGCGACAACACAUGUCAAUAAUUUAUUUAAUUUGAAUAACCUGCCGAUUUAUUUGCAUGGAAUAUCAGGCGGAUGUGUCAACAACCGAGUCCAUGUUACUCGCUGGGAAAGGAGCAUUGCUACAUUCAGGCCAAAAGUGUUGGUAUUACAUUUUGGAGAAAACGAUUUAGAUUCGCGAAGAGAUGUUUGUGAUUUAAUUUCGCUGAAGGUAGUGAAUUUGGCAACCACAUAGCGUGCACGAUAUAACGUUCAAUCUGUGGUGAUAGUGCAACUGAUGACAUUUUGUACUGGAAGAUCUCUGGGGUGAAAUAUCCAACUCAGCCUAUUUUCUGUGAUGGUGUACAUUUUAAUGAUGAUGGAAUGCUUCGUUACUUCCGUAGUUUACGUGGUGCAAUUAUCUACGCUAGUAAAUAAGUGAUGUAAACAUAGUGAAAUGUUAUUGUGUGAAUAGCUUCAGCUUUGUGAUAUGACUGAUGUUUUUUGCUUUAGAACUCUUUACCUACAUGUACAUCUGGCUAUUUACAUCCUUGUUUCAUUAUGUUGACAUGCUCAAAUAGUUCAAGUAACAUGUACAAGCACAAAAUACUAUGAAAUUUUCAUCGCAAAUGCAUGUCUUUUCUUUACCUGCUGAGAAUCAUGUUGACAGUUAAUGAGUUAUCUGUGUAUAUUUUGUCCUAGAAUUUAUUAAGUUAAUUUUAGUUAUAAAUAUGUUAAUAUUUCUGCAUAAGUAUAACUAUUUUAUGUUAUUAAUGGAUUUAUUGCUUUUUAAUAACAACUGUAAUAUGUAAGUAUUUCCGUUAUAAAAUGCAAUUUGGGCCUUUAUAAAACUGGUUGGAAGUUCUUCCUUCAUCAUUUUCAAGUACAUAAGUUUAUAUUGCAAUGCAAUAUUAUUUAUUAGUGUCAGUAUACGGUAGUAUUUGGCAAAAUACGUUAGUAUUUUCUAGAAUACGGUAGUAUUCUAUCUAUUUCUCGGACAAAUGAUUGGGAUAUGUUAGUUUUCAGUCAGAAAUUUGUUCAAACAUUUUAUCAACAACUGAAAUACGUUAGUUUUCAGUCACAAAAAAUACGUUAGUAUUUUUGGCAGUUAUCAUAAUUAUGAUGGUAUUCUUAGUUUAUUAAGAGCAGAAUACGGUAGUAUUCUUACCUAUUUUUGUUCGAUCAAACUGCAAGAAAUAAACUAUUGUUUCGUCAAGGGAAUACGUUAGUAUUUCCAUUUUUAAAGCAUAGUAUGCUAGAAAAGCUACGGCAGAUUACUGUGUUUUGAUAAUGGUUUUACAUAAGUUUAUAUUGCAAUGCAAUAUUAUUUAUUAGUGCCAGUAUACGGUAGUAUUUGGCAAAAUACGUUAGUAUUUUCUAGAAUACGGUAGUAUUCUAUCUAUUUCUCGGACAAAUGAUUGGGAUAAAUGUUAGUUUUCAGUCAGAAAUUUGUUCAAACAUUUUAUCAACAACUGAAUACGUUAGUUUUCAGUCACAAAAAAUACGUUAGUAUUUUUGGCAGUUAUCAUAAUUAUGAUGGUAUUCUUAGUUUAUUAAGAGCAGAAUACGGUAGUAUUCUUACCUAUUUUUGUUCGAUCGCACUGCAAGAAAUAAACUAUUGUUUCAUCAAGGGAAUACGUUAGUAUUUCCAUUUUUAAAGCAUAAUAUGCUAGUAAAGCUACGGCAGAUUACUGUGUUUUGAUAAUGGUUUUACAUAAGUUUAUAUUGCAAUGCAACAUUAUUUAUUAGUGCCAGUAUACGGUAGUAUUUGGCAAAAUACGUUAGUAUUUUCUAGAAUACGGUAGUAUUCUAUCUAUUUCUCGGACAUAUGAUUGGGAUAUGUUAGUUUUUAGUCAGAAAUUUGUUCAAACAUUUUAUCAACAACUGAAAUACGUUAGUUUUCAGUCACAAAAAAUACGUUAGUAUUUUUGGCAGUUAUCAUAAUAAUGAUGGUAUUCUUAGUUUAUUAAGAGCAGAAUACGGUAGUAUUCUUACCUAUUUUUGUUCGAUCGAACUGCAAGAAAUAAACUAUUGUUUCGUCAAGGGAAUACGUUAGUAUUUCCAUUUUUAAAGCAUAAUAUGCUAGUAAAGCUACGGCGGAUUACUGUGUUUUGAUAAUGGUUAUAACACAUUGACUAAUCUGUCAGUUGAUUUAAAUGAAACAUAUUUACACUUGAUGUUUCGGUUAAAUGUUUCUAAUACUUUUUUUUUUACACACAUUUAUGUUUUCAUUAGAACAAUGAUGCAAUUCUAGUUGUUGUUGUUGUUGUUGUAAAUAUAUAUAUAGAAACACACACCAAUAGAUAUAUAAUUAUGGUCAUUUAAUGCACAAAUCGGAAAUGAGUUGUCUGUUAAUGCGGGAAUCCCAGAUGAUUUAUGUACUGUCAAUUAUCAAACAAUUGACGAUGCCAUAGCUCUCGUUAAACAAUGUGGUUAUAUGUCAUAUAUGACUAAAGUAGAUAUUGAAAAUGCAUAUAAAAUAGUGCCCAUUCAUCCCCAUGAUUUUGAACUUUUAGGUUUUUCCAUUGAUGACAAGAAAAUUUUUUUUUUGGAUAAAACCUUGCCCAUGGGAUUGUCUUAUUCGUGUGCUCUAUUUGAACGAUUAAGCACUGCCUUUCAUUGGACUGCUGUAAACAAAUUGAAGUUACCGUUUUGUGCCCACAUUCUUGAUGAUUUUUUUUUUUUCUUUGUUAAUUUCACUUCUGAUUUGUCCAUGAAGGGUCUUAAUAUAUUUUUAACAUGGGCACAGUCAAUUGGGUUACCUAUUAAUCCAGAUAAAACUGUCACUCCUUGUACCACUAUCACUUUUGUUGGUAUUGAGCUUGAUUCCAUUGCAAUGGAGGCUCGUUUACCAUUAGAGAAAUUGCAAAAAAUCAGGUCAGUUUUACAUUCUCUGCGAUUUCGUAAAAAGGUUACUUUACAGGAACUGCAGUCUGUCAUAGGUCUCCUUAAUUUUGCUUGCAGAGUUGUUCGGCCGGGCCGGGCUUUUUUGACCUGACACUGUUAGUGUACUGUCCCUGGAUUAAACUCAACUAUAUCGCUAUCUUGGGGACAAGGGCCUCAGACUAGCAUAAUCGUUCACAUUCCUAAGGUACACAUUAAUACCACAUCUUCUGUCUUGGGGACAAGGGCCUCAGACAGUAUGAAUCAUUGGUGAAAUACUUGCAAAUCUUGAGGACAAGGGCCUCAGAAAGGUUUUUCUGAAAAUUUCUGCUGAUAAUUUUGUUAAAUCUCUGUUGUAUAAUAAUUGAUUUUCUUUGGAACAAGAGUCUCAGAAAAUCAAAUGGUAAUUUUCAGAAAAUAUUACUUUUGUUGUAUUUUUGUGUUUUCUUAAUAAAUGUUUUUUAUGUGUUAGUCAUCGCUUUUUAUAAAACAUUAGUCAAUUGUCUUUUUAAUGUACAUACUAUGUUGUUACAUGUGUCCCAGGGUUUCAUUUUUAUAUACAAUGUAUGUACUUAAUCUAGCUGAUUAUCUAUCUCGUCUUCAGGUAGAACAAUUUUUGCAAGAAUGUCCGUUUCAUCACCCACUACAAAUGGCAGUUCCACCAUCCAGUGUGACACUUUGACUGAAAUUUCCCAAAUGCUUCUUGACAAUGCUUUGGCAACAUCAAGUCAGCUCACUUAUAAUAAAGCAGUGGAACAUUACAGGCGCUUCAUUCUAGAGAGGUCACCAUCACAUGCACUUUUCAAGCCUCUUUAAAUGAUAUUCUUAUGUUUAUUGCACAUUGUUUUUCGAAGAAUUUUGCACCCGCAACUGUUACCACAUAUGUGUCUGCCCUUGGUUAUUUCCACAGACUAAGACAAAUGCCAGACGUUUCUGGUCAUUUCCUGAUUAACAAAUCUUUGACUGGUUAUCGAAAUCUCUUGAGGCGUCCAGAUAUCAGGUUACCAAUUACUUGAAAUAUUCUAUGGUCUCUCGUUCAAUCUCUGCCACGCAUAACUCUAUGUCACUUUACAAGAACACUGUUUAAAGCCAUGUUUCUUGUUAUGUUCGCCUGCUUCUUACGUCUUGGGGAAGUAACAGCAACAUCUUCCCCUCCACUCCUUCACAGGUCACAUGUCUCCUUCAAAUAUAAACACCCCACAGAUGAACUGAUUGGCUUUGAUUUGACUAUAAAAGAUUAUAAACACAGUCAUGGUUCCCAAAAAACAA
This is a long non-coding RNA of Ruditapes philippinarum (Manila clam), 4517 nucleotides long. RefSeq lists it as uncharacterized. Lineage: Eukaryota; Metazoa; Mollusca; Bivalvia; Venerida; Veneridae. The transcript is spliced from 2 exons. The record is from RefSeq and is a predicted model, not a curated record.